UACAGAGGGGGUUAGCGUUGUUCGGAAUGACUGGGCGUAAAGCGCGCGUAGGCGGAUCAUCAAGUCGGGGGUGAAAUCCCGGGGCUCAACCCCGGAAUGGCCUUCGAGACUGGUGGUCUUGAGUUCGAGAGAGGUGAGUGGAAUUCCGAGUGUAGAGGUGAAAUUCGUAGAUAUUCGGAAGAACACCAGUGGCGAAGGCGACUCGCUGGACAGGUAUUGACGCUGAGGUGCGAAAGCGUGGGGAGCAAACAGG
This 253-nucleotide ribosomal RNA is filed under the name uncultured bacterium. RNAcentral's name for it is "partial 16S ribosomal RNA". It matches the Rfam family "Bacterial small subunit ribosomal RNA", at positions 524 to 776 of the family's 1533-position model. The record is from RNAcentral.